This 1260-nucleotide ribosomal RNA is filed under the name metagenome. RNAcentral describes it as "bacterial LSU rRNA". It matches the Rfam family "Bacterial large subunit ribosomal RNA", at positions 1680 to 2925 of the family's 2925-position model. The record is from RNAcentral.
ACCAAGGCGAUCGAGUGAAUCGUGGUUAAGGAAUUCGGCAAAAUACCCCCGUAACUUCGGGAGAAGGGGGGCCCAGAGGGUGACGGGACUUGCUCCCCGAGCCGGAACGGCCGCAGAGACCAGGGAGAAGCGACUGUUUACUAAAAACACAGGUCCGUGCCAAGUCGCAAGACGAUGUAUACGGACUGACGCCUGCCCGGUGCUGGAACGUUAAGGGGACCGGUUAGCCUCACGGCGAAGCUGAGAACUUAAGCGCCAGUAAACGGCGGUGGUAACUAUAACCAUCCUAAGGUAGCGAAAUUCCUUGUCGGGUAAGUUCCGACCUGCACGAAUGGCGUAACGACUUCUCCACUGUCUCAACCACGAACUCGGCGAAAUUGCACUACGAGUAAAGAUGCUCGUUACGCGCAGAAGGACGGAAAGACUCCGGGACCUUUACUACAGCUUGGUAUUGGUGUUCGGUACGGCUUGUGUAGGAUAGGUGGGAGACUGUGAAGCUGACACGCCAGUGUCGGUGGAGUCAACGUUGAAAUACCACUCUGGUCGUUCUGGAUAUCUAACCUAGGUCCGUAAUCCGGAUCAGGGACAGUGCCUGGUGGGUAGUUUAACUGGGGCGGUUGCCUCCUAAAAGGUAACGGAGGCGCCCAAAGGUUCCCUCAGCCUGGUUGGCAAUCAGGUUUCGAGUGUAAGUGCACAAGGGAGCUUGACUGUGAGACUGACAAGUCGAACAGGGACGAAAGUCGGGACUAGUGAUCCGGCGGUGGCUUGUGGAAGCGCCGUCGCUCAACGGAUAAAAGGUACCCCGGGGAUAACAGGCUGAUCUUGCCCAAGAGUCCAUAUCGACGGCAUGGUUUGGCACCUCGAUGUCGGCUCGUCGCAUCCUGGGGCUGGAGUAGGUCCCAAGGGUUGGGCUGUUCGCCCAUUAAAGCGGUACGCGAGCUGGGUUUAGAACGUCGUGAGACAGUUCGGUCCCUAUCCUCUGCGCGCGCAGGAAACUUGAGAAGGGCUGUCCCUAGUACGAGAGGACCGGGAUGGACGAACCUCUGGUGUGUCAGUUGUUCUGCCAAGAGCACCGCUGAUUAGCUACGUUCGGGAGUGAUAACCGCUGAAAGCAUCUAAGCGGGAAGCAUGCUUCAAGAUGAGGUUUCCAUGGGGUUUACCCCGAGAGGCUCCCAGCUAGACUACUGGGUUGAUAGGCCGGAUGUGGAAGUGCGGUAACGCAUGGAGCUGACCGGUACUAAUAAGCCGAUAACUUGACUG